This 487-nucleotide ribosomal RNA is filed under the name uncultured bacterium. RNAcentral's name for it is "bacterial SSU rRNA". It matches the Rfam family "Bacterial small subunit ribosomal RNA", at positions 28 to 507 of the family's 1533-position model. The record is from RNAcentral.
GACGAACGCUGGCGGCGUGGAUUAGGCAUGCAAGUCGAACGGUAGGAUCCUUUCGGGGAUCUGAGAGUGGCGAACGGGUGAGUAACACGUAGGUGAUCUACCUCAAGACGGGGACAACCCAGGGAAACUUGGGCUAAUACCGGAUGUGAGCUAUCGCGAGAUAGUUUGAAAGGUGGCUUCGGCUGCCGCUUGAGGAUGAGCCUGCGUCCUAUUAGCUAGUUGGUGAGGUAACGGCUCACCGAGGCAGUGAUAGGUAGGCGGCCUUAACGGGUGGUCGCCCACACUGGGAUUGAGAUACGGCCCAGACUCCUACGGGAGGCAGCAGUCGAGAAUAGUCUACAAUGGUCGAAAGACUGAUAGUGCGACGCCGCGUGAACGAAGAAGCCCUUCGGGGUGUAAAGUUCUUUUAUAUGUGAGCAGUGACACCCAUAUUAAUAGUAUGGGUGUAGAGAUAUUAGCAUAUGAAUAAGUAACGGCUAACUCCGUG